Molecule: transfer RNA, 75 nt
Filed under: Dendrosporobacter quercicolus
Lineage: Bacteria; Bacillati; Bacillota; Negativicutes; Selenomonadales; Sporomusaceae
Also listed under: 2 other names
Description: tRNA_Met_CAT
Rfam family: tRNA
About the family: Transfer RNA (tRNA) molecules are approximately 80 nucleotides in length.
Source: RNAcentral
GGGCCUAUAGCUCAGUGGUAGAGCAGCCGGCUCAUAACCGGCUGGUCCCUGGUUCGAACCCAGGUGGGCCCACCA